GACGAACGCUGGCGGCGUGCCUAAUACAUGCAAGUCGAACGGUUUAGUUCCAAGAGGCUUGCCUUUUGGAACUAGACAGUGGCGGACGGGUGAGUAACACGUAGGCAACCUACCUGUCAAACCGGGAUAACCUCGGGAAACCGAAGCUAAACCCGGAUAAGCUCCUUUUUCGCAUGAAGGGGGAGUGAAAAGGUGCGACCUGAUGACAGAUGGGCCUGCGGCGCAUUAGCUAGUAGGUAGGGUAACGGCCUACCUAGGCGAUGAUGCGUAGCCGACCUGAGAGGGCGUACGGCCACACUGGGACUGAGAUACGGCCCAGACUCCUACGGGAGGCAGCAGUAGGGAAUCUUCGGCAAUGGGCGAAAGCCUGACCGAGCAACGCCGCGUGAGUGAGGAAGGCCUUCGGGUUGUAAAACUCUGUUGUUUGGGAAGAAGGGAAAGGGUAGGACCCUUAGGUGACGGUACCAAACGAGAAAACCCCGGCUAACUACGUG
RNAcentral lists this ribosomal RNA (494 nucleotides) under uncultured bacterium. Its description in RNAcentral is "partial 16S ribosomal RNA". It matches the Rfam family "Bacterial small subunit ribosomal RNA", at positions 28 to 507 of the family's 1533-position model. The record is from RNAcentral.